Molecule: non-coding RNA, 31 nt
Filed under: Homo sapiens (human)
Lineage: Eukaryota; Metazoa; Chordata; Mammalia; Primates; Hominidae
Source: RNAcentral
UGCACUCGCGUGGGAACGAGAAGACACUCGU